RNAcentral lists this small RNA (365 nucleotides) under Rickettsia prowazekii. RNAcentral describes it as "partial sR33 non-coding RNA". The record is from RNAcentral. Lineage: Bacteria; Pseudomonadati; Pseudomonadota; Alphaproteobacteria; Rickettsiales; Rickettsiaceae.
AAACAAAACUAGUUCUAAGAGUAUUAGUAACUGAUUUAUUAGGGAUAUAAUAAGCGAAAAUCAUUGCUGAUAAAAUGUUGGUAAAAAUAAUCAUAUAAGAGGAAAUAACAGCAACAAUAGAAAGUCCGCUAGGACCAAGUAGAGGGCUGCUCACUCCAAAAAAAAUGUAACUAUUAUAACGAAUUGAUCCUUGAAAAAUAGAAGUAAAUUGGACUUUAUCAAUGUUACAUUUUUUUUGAUAAAUUAUAAGACCGAGUGAUACAAGAAUAGUAGAGAUAAUAAGAGCAACUACUAGUUUAAUUAUAGAUGUAACACUUAGGUCAGCGGUAGAUACAUAAUUAAAAAGCAUGGCAGGGAAUAGUAUA